RNAcentral lists this long non-coding RNA (1794 nucleotides) under Papio anubis (olive baboon). Its description in RNAcentral is "lncRNA (ENSPANG00000036207.2)". Lineage: Eukaryota; Metazoa; Chordata; Mammalia; Primates; Cercopithecidae. The record is from RNAcentral.
AUGAGAAGAAAUAGCAAGGCCCAACCAGUUCUUCAUCUGAAGACAGUUCAAUGUUCUGCAAACCAGAUCUUCAGGAAUUUUACUGGGAUAAUUGUCCAAAUAAAUUGCAAGCAUUCUAUCCAAAUGGUAAGCAGAACAUCUUAUUAUGUAACCAUAUUUGUUUAUCCAUAAUUAGUAUAACUUUCUGAGUACUGAAAUGAGAAACUUGAUUUACUCUUCUUCACUCAUGUUUUAAAUUUUAUAAGAAAAACUCGAAUCACUAAAUAAUUUCUUUUUAUUUUAUUUAAAAAUUAUAAUUCUGAGAUGUAAAUAUAUGGCAUGUAAGCCUGGGAAUUAUUUAAUCACUUUACUCGAAAAUCUGGUAAAAGGCAAAAUUUCUGAAAAUAGACUACCGGAAAACAUUUUGUAAACAAUAUAGAGGGAGAAUUGUAUAUCAGAAUAUACACAUAAAACUAUCUUUUCAGAUAAUUAUGUAUCAUUUAUUUUCUUAUAGUGAAAUUAUAAAAAUAAAACCUAUAGCCUUCCAUAGAUACAUAAUUAACUGUGUUUUGAAAUGAUAUCCAAUUCAGUACCUUCAUACAUUUGAAACUUUGAUAAGCUAGUCUGUCUUCACUUUGGGGAUCAUCUUCAUUAAGAGUUUGUUUUCUCGAGUUUUGAGGUAGGAUACUUGAAGUCAUUCUUCUUCUUUAUAAUUAUGUGGCAAGAACUAUCUCCCUCAAAACUUUAUGCUUAAGUUUGUGACAGUCACACUGUCAGUCAGAUGGUGCAAAGUCUUUUAAUGCUGUUGAACAUAAGGGAGUUGUCUAAAAUACAGAUAGUUCUCCAUCUGAGCUCAUAACCCAAGCAAUGUGCUUCAAAAUUGCAUUUAUUAUAUUUUUUCUUAUUACAAAUGAUAUUAUGUUCAUAACGGAUAGAUAAAUUAGAUGCCCAUAAAUAUAAAUAAAAAAAUAUUCUCACCACCUCAUGCAACCUGUUAACCUUUUGUAUAAACUGGUGAAUGUUUUCAGUAUACGAACACACAACCUACUGUAAAAAUUCAAGAAACGAGUGUGAUGAUGAUGUGAAAUGCAGAUUCGCCUCCCCUGACCCCACUUCCUCUGCAGCUUGGGUAUAAAUGCCUGCUCCAACACCUGUUCUCUGUGUGAACUUGGGCAAAUCCUUUACUCCCUCUAGGCUUUCCUUUCUCAUCUGCAAAAUGGAGCUAAUAAUACAUACCUAGCUGAUGGGGUUGUCUUGAGGAUGAAAUAUGUUGAUACAAGUUAGGUGUAUAGAGCAGUGCCUAGCUCGUAAGUGAGAUAUUACAAAAGUAUCUAUUGUAUUUGAAUUAUUUUUUGGAAUUUUUAAGAUGUGCAUAUUUUGUAUACUUAUAUCUCAUUUAGCUUUCUACUAAAGGUAAUUAUUCUUCAGUUAGUUAUUUUGUGGUUCCAGAUAGAAAAUCAUAUUUUCUAAAAAUAAUAACAAUUUUAGAUACUUUUAUUUUUUUUCCUUUUUAGCAUCAUACUUUUAUCAAUUUUGAGGUCACUACUUAUUGCCUUGGCUAUGUCUUUCAGUGUAACAUGAAAUAACUGAAUAAUUCUUUAUUCUUUCUGAUUUUAUUAGGAAUGACUUUCAUGAUUGUAAUUUGAGUACUGUGUUGACUAUUUGUGUAAGUUUUAUUCUUUUUCUUAAGACGUAAUUCUAUUCUUAACUAUAUUUGAUUAUCAGAAGUUUCUGUUGAUGUUCUAUAAAUCUCAAUUACAUAUAAAUUAAUGUUUUAAUAUCUCUUGAGAAGAUGAUUUGGUUCUCCUCUCUCGG